RNAcentral lists this ribosomal RNA (922 nucleotides) under marine metagenome. RNAcentral's name for it is "bacterial SSU rRNA". It matches the Rfam family "Bacterial small subunit ribosomal RNA", at positions 596 to 1520 of the family's 1533-position model. The record is from RNAcentral.
UUAAGCGUGGAGCUUAACUCCAUCAUGGCAGUGGAAACUGAAAGGCUUGAGUAUGGUAGGGGCAGAGGGAAUUCCCGGUGUAGCGGUGAAAUGCGUAGAUAUCGGGAAGAACACCAGUGGCGAAGGCGCUCUGCUGGGCCAUUACUGACGCUCAUGGACGAAAGCCAGGGGAGCGAAAGGGAUUAGAUACCCCUGUAGUCCUGGCCGUAAACGAUGAACACUAGGUGUCGGGGGAAUCGACCCCUUCGGUGUCGUAGCUAACGCGUUAAGUGUUCCGCCUGGGGAGUACGCACGCAAGUGUGAAACUCAAAGGAAUUGACGGGGGCCCGCACAAGCGGUGGAGUAUGUGGUUUAAUUCGAUGCAACGCGAAGAACCUUACCAGGGUUUGACAUCCUGCGAACCUCUUAGAAAUUUGAGGGUGCCUUCGGGAAUGCAGUGACAGGUGGUGCAUGGCUGUCGUCAGCUCGUGUCGUGAGAUGUUGGGUUAAGUCCCGCAACGAGCGCAACCCACGUUUUUAGUUGCCAGCAUUUAGUUGGGCACUCUAGAAAGACCGCCGGUGAUAAACCGGAGGAAGGUGUGGAUGACGUCAAGUCAUCAUGCCCCUUACACCCUGGGCUACACACGUACUACAAUGCUACGGACAAAGGGCAGCAAACUCGCGAGAGCUAGCAAAUCCCAUAAACCGUGGCUCAGUUCAGAUCGUAGGCUGCAACUCGCCUACGUGAAGUAGGAAUCGCUAGUAAUCGCAGGUCAGCAUACUGCGGUGAAUACGUUCCCGGGCCUUGUACACACCGCCCGUCACACCAUGGAAGUUGGCCAUGCCCGAAGUCGUUACUCCACCCUUGUGGAGGAGGACGCCGAAGUGGGGCUAAUGACUGGGGUGAAGUCGUAACAAGGUAGCCGUACCGGAAGUGCGGCUG